Molecule: non-coding RNA, 71 nt
Organism: Danionella cerebrum
Lineage: Eukaryota; Metazoa; Chordata; Actinopteri; Cypriniformes; Danionidae
Source: the annotation of a GenBank genome assembly
UUUCCCGUGGCUCAGUUUGUAGAGCACUGUUCUAGUGACGCAAAGGUCAAGGGUUCAAAUCCCAGGGAAAG